GAGCCUCUGGUCGGGUUGAAUCAAUCUGGCAGCGCCGUGGGGUUUGGGGUGUUCAUAAAACUCGAAUGGCAUUGAAAAUCAAAGGUAUUGCAUAUAUUCAAUUAUUCCAGGAGCAAAAUUUGAAAAAUCUAGAAAAAGAAACUAUACUGACCUUUUAAAUAUUACAAAAUACAGAUAUAUCAUUUCAAAUUGUCGUACCAAUUGCUACUAGGGGUGCUCAUAAAACUCGCGGGUCGAGACGUGCUCGAAGUUCGCUCGAAAAAGUUCGGAAAAGCUCGAUUCAAAAUCGGCUCAGUUUUAAAUGAGCUGGCUCGGCUCGGUUCGGUUUGUAAACACACCUUCCACAUAUCUAACUUGAUUGUUUAAAAAACACAAGCCAAAACCGAGCGAGCCGAGCCAGAUCGAAUUUUAUACGAGUCGAGCCCGAGCUCAAAUUUUUGGCUCGACUAAUGAUUUCGAGCCGAGCCGAGAUGGCUCGUUUGAAGUUCGAACCGAGGUCGAGCUGGCCCUGGCUUGGCUCGAAUCGGCUCGU
This 532-nucleotide long non-coding RNA is filed under the name Helianthus annuus (common sunflower). RNAcentral describes it as "sRNA HanXRQr2_Chr09g0385641". The record is from RNAcentral. Lineage: Eukaryota; Viridiplantae; Streptophyta; Magnoliopsida; Asterales; Asteraceae.